This 229-nucleotide ribosomal RNA is filed under the name uncultured bacterium. Its description in RNAcentral is "partial 16S ribosomal RNA". It matches the Rfam family "Bacterial small subunit ribosomal RNA", at positions 568 to 796 of the family's 1533-position model. The record is from RNAcentral.
UGCGUAGGCGGAUUAAUAAGUCAGUGGUGAAAUCUCCCGGCUCAACCGGGAAACUGCCAUUGAUACUGUUAGUCUAGAGUUUAGAUGAAGUGGGCGGAAUGUAGCAUGUAGCGGUGAAAUGCUUAGAUAUGCUACAGAACACCGAUUGCGAAGGCAGCUCACUAAGCUAAAACUGACGCUCAUGCACGAAAGCGUGGGGAUCAAACCGGAUUAGAUACCCGAGUAGUCC